RNAcentral lists this ribosomal RNA (460 nucleotides) under uncultured bacterium. RNAcentral's name for it is "partial 16S ribosomal RNA". It matches the Rfam family "Bacterial small subunit ribosomal RNA", at positions 338 to 795 of the family's 1533-position model. The record is from RNAcentral.
CCUACGGGAGGCAGCAGUGAGGAAUAUUGGUCAAUGGCCGGAAGGCUGAACCAGCCAUGCCGCGUGAAGGUCAGUGCCCUAUGGGCGUUAAACUUCUUUUGUGCGGGACCAAUAAUGGUCACGUGUGGCCAGACGAGAGUAGCGUACGAAUAAGCAUCGGCUAACGCCGUGCCAGCAGCCGCGGUAAUACGGGGGAUGCAAGCGUUAUCCGGAUUUAUUGGGGUUAAAGGGUGCGUAGGCUGUGAGGUGAGUGAGCGGUGAAAUGCCCCCGCUCAACGGGGUGAAGUGCCAUUGAUACUGCCUUGCUGGAAUGCGGAUGCGGUGGGAGGAAUGUGUGGUGUAGCGGUGAAAUGCAUAGAUAUCACACAGAACACCGAUUGCGAAGGCAUCUCACGAAUCCGCGAUUGAUGCUGAUGCACGAAAGCGUGGGUAUCAAACAGGAUUAGAUACCCUUGUAGUC